Molecule: non-coding RNA, 70 nt
Filed under: Schistosoma mansoni
Lineage: Eukaryota; Metazoa; Platyhelminthes; Trematoda; Strigeidida; Schistosomatidae
Source: RNAcentral
UCAUUAACUCCGCCUGUAGCUCUUCAAGAGUUACUGCCGGUCCCAACCCCGGGUAUAGGAGGAGGGUUGA